RNAcentral lists this long non-coding RNA (229 nucleotides) under Sorghum bicolor (sorghum). Its description in RNAcentral is "long non-coding RNA (SBIC_LNC011902)". The record is from RNAcentral. Lineage: Eukaryota; Viridiplantae; Streptophyta; Magnoliopsida; Poales; Poaceae.
AUGCACAAAAGCUCUUUUAGAAAAAUGCUUUGGAAAAAUAGAAUAAAGAAAAAGAAAAAAAACGAGGAAGAACUCACCUGCGCCUUGGGCCCAGCCCCCAUUUCCCCGCGCGUGGCCCGAUUCGCAUCCCUACGGCCAAGCCGAGCAGCAGGUGUGCCUUCCCCUCCCUUCCCAUCGCUGACAGGCCGGGUCCACAUGGCAGCGACCGCCCCGUCUCCUACCUCGGUCC